This 378-nucleotide unclassified non-coding RNA is filed under the name uncultured Chlamydiales bacterium. RNAcentral describes it as "contains 16S-23S intergenic spacer region". The record is from RNAcentral. Lineage: Bacteria; Pseudomonadati; Chlamydiota; Chlamydiia; Chlamydiales.
UCCCGGUUCACCCGGGCAGUCUCGCUAGAGUUCCCACCAUUACGUGCUGGCAACUAACGAUAAGGGUUGCGCUCGUUGCGGGACUUAACCCAACACCUCACGGCACGAGCUGACGACAGCCAUGCAGCACCUGUGCAGCGGUUCUUACGAACGCAUACAUUUCUGCAUACUUCCACUGCAUGUCAAGACCAGGUAAGGUUCUUCGCGUUGCAUCGAAUUAAACCACAUGCUCCACUGCUUGUGCGGGUCCCCGUCAAUUCUUUUGAGUUUUACCCUUGCGAGCGUACUCCCCAGGUGGUGUACUUAUCGCGUUAGCUACGGCACAACUGGGGUUGAGUCCAGUUACACCAAGUACACAUCGUUUACGGCAAGGACUAC